Molecule: ribosomal RNA, 271 nt
Filed under: uncultured bacterium
Lineage: Bacteria
Description: partial 16S ribosomal RNA
Rfam family: Bacterial small subunit ribosomal RNA
Source: RNAcentral
UUUCCUACGGGACGCAGCAGUGAGGAAUAUUGGUCAAUGGGCGCGAGCCUGAACCAGCCAAGUAGCGUGAAGGAUGACUGCCCUACGGGUUGUAAACUUCUUUUAUAAAGGAAUAAAGUGAGGCACGUGUGCCUUUUUGUAUGUACUUUAUGAAUAAGGAUCGGCUAACUCCGUGCCAGCAGCCGCGGUAAUACGGAGGAUUCAAGCGUUAUCCGGAUUUAUUGGGUUUAAAGGGUGCGUAGGCGGUCGGAUAAGUUAGAGGUGAAAUCCC